UUAGUCUUCUGUUACCCAUUUCCAACAAAGGCCUACUUUCCUUUUUUCAGUCUGGUAGUCUUGGCCAACUUUUCUCCAGUGCGCGGCGAACAUAACCUGGAACACCACCCAACAGAUAAUGGCCUUCUCCCAUUUUUAGUGCCUCUUUCGCAAGAAUAUGGGUGUAUGUAUUCUCUGUUUUAGGGACAAAAUGAAACCCAAUCUCUUGAAAAUGGACCUUUUUGCUGUGAAUAUCUCUGAUGAGUGCUCCAAUAACCGAUCUAUCGAAAUAUGUAGUUUGACAUUUCUUUAUUACAGUUCUUGAAUCUCCCACUAUUUCCAGAAUACUAAAACCCAUAGAAAUUCCUAAUCGUAUGGCUUGUAAUCCUGCAUAUGCCUCCGCCGUAAACGGAGAUGCUACAUCGGAAUGAAGAACCGUCGUUGAUACCAAGAUCUCGCCCCCCACAUCCCGUACUACCAGUCCCAAAGUAAAUCUGAAAGAUUGUUGGUCGAAGGCUACGUCAAAGUAAAUUGCCACACUCGUUCUCCUAUCGACAUAUUUAUGGCCUCUAUCUACUUUUAAGAUUAACCAAAGUCCGCAACAAAAAAUGCGAUACUGUUUGCUAGUCCCCCGACUAAAAACCCAGGGUAAAGCCCGAACAACAAACACGAUUAAUGCGACUCAAACUCAGACUAUACCUAGGACAAUAAACACCAUUAACUAUCAAGUCAUCACACAAGGUUCAACUUAUACUUGUUAUUGAGAAAGCUUUAGAAUAGAAUGCAAAUCCCUUUUGGGUUUUCAAAGUUUUUACAUUGAACUUCCGU
Gossypium raimondii (Peruvian cotton) is the source of this 807-nucleotide long non-coding RNA. RefSeq lists it as uncharacterized. The record is from RefSeq and is a predicted model, not a curated record. The transcript is spliced from 3 exons. Lineage: Eukaryota; Viridiplantae; Streptophyta; Magnoliopsida; Malvales; Malvaceae.